AGUGAACGCUGGCGGUAGGCCUAACACAUGCAAGUCGAACGGCAGCACAGUAAGAGCUUGCUCUUACGGGUGGCGAGUGGCGGACGGGUGAGGAAUACAUCGGAAUCUACUUUUUCGUGGGGGAUAACGUAGGGAAACUUACGCUAAUACCGCAUACGACCUACGGGUGAAAGCAGGGGAUCUUCGGACCUUGCGCGAUUAAAUGAGCCGAUGUCGGAUUAGCUAGUUGGCGGGGUAAAGGCCCACCAAGGCGACGAUCCGUAGCUGGUCUGAGAGGAUGAUCAGCCACACUGGAACUGAGACACGGUCCAGACCCCUACGGGAGGCAGCAGUGGGGAAUAUUGGACAAUGGGCGCAAGCCUGAUCCAGCCAUACCGCGUGGGUGAAGAAGGCCUUCGGGUUGUAAAGCCCUUUUGUUGGGAAAGAAAAGCAGCAGGUUAAUACCCCGCUGUUCUGACGGUACCCAAAGAAUAAGCACCGGCUAACUUCGUG
RNAcentral lists this ribosomal RNA (492 nucleotides) under uncultured bacterium. RNAcentral's name for it is "partial 16S ribosomal RNA". It matches the Rfam family "Bacterial small subunit ribosomal RNA", at positions 29 to 507 of the family's 1533-position model. The record is from RNAcentral.